This 635-nucleotide ribosomal RNA is filed under the name uncultured Actinomycetes bacterium. RNAcentral's name for it is "bacterial SSU rRNA". It matches the Rfam family "Bacterial small subunit ribosomal RNA", at positions 234 to 885 of the family's 1533-position model. The record is from RNAcentral. Lineage: Bacteria; Bacillati; Actinomycetota; Actinomycetes.
CGCCUGGGGAGUACGGGUGAGGUAAUGGCUCACCAAGGCAUCGACGGGUAGCUGGUCUGAGAGGACGAUCAGCCACACUGGGACUGAGACACGGCCCAGACUCCUACGGGAGGCAGCAGUAGGGAAUCUUGCGCAAUGGGGGAAACCCUGACGCAGCAACGCCGCGUGUGGGAUGACGGCUUUCGGGUUGUAAACCACUUUCAGUGAUGACGAAAAUGACGGUAAUCACAGAAGAAGGUCCGGCCAACUACGUGCCAGCAGCCGCGGUAACACGUAGGGACCGAGCGUUGUCCGGAUUUAUUGGGCGUAAAGAGCUCGUAGGCGGUUCUGUAAGUCGGGUGUGAAAACUCUGGGCUCAACCCAGAGACGCCACUCGAUACUGCUGUGACUAGAGUGCGGUAGGGGAGCGGGGAAUUCCUAGUGUAGCGGUGAAAUGCGCAGAUAUUAGGAGGAACACCAGUGGCGAAGGCGCCGCUCUGGGCCGUAACUGACGCCGAGGAGCGAAAGCGUGGGUAGCAAACAGGAUUAGAUACCCUGGUAGUCCACGCCGUAAACGGUGGGCGCUAGGUGUGGGCCACAUUCCACGUGGUCCGUGACGAAGUUAACACAUUAAGCACCCCGCCUGGGGAGUACGG